Molecule: long non-coding RNA, 2041 nt
Filed under: Anneissia japonica
Lineage: Eukaryota; Metazoa; Echinodermata; Crinoidea; Comatulida; Comatulidae
Description: uncharacterized LOC117115406
Source: RNAcentral
GAUGGAAGUGGGUGAUGAUAUUCUUGUUAGGUAACACCAUCUGUUGUGUUACAACAGCUGCUUUGCUGAACAUUAUUGACAGGAAAAGGGGUGGAGUCUUAAAUGAGAGCAGGAGAAUGAAACAAAUACGUCUGAAAGGUUGGAUGGAAAAGUCAAUCCAAUCAAUCGACUACAAUGGUGAAACUGAUCAAUUAGUGCCUAACACGGUUAUGCCAACUGCUGAUUGCUAAAACAUGGGCUACUAUCAAUAUACAGAAUAUUCAUGUCUCCUGUGUUUUUUGUUUUAUGCACAAAUAUGUCUUUGGUUACCUCAAAACCUAUGUCUGGUUACAACCAAACUACUGUAUAUUUUUUUAUGAAUCAUGGUGGAUAGAAAAGUUGGAGGAUGAGUCAAAGAAGAGAAAGAGUAUGUGGUAACAUACAAUUUUAAUUUGGAGCCAACCUUCCCCCUUCCCUCCAUUCCUGAACUACCCCAACAUUUUUACUUAUUACUCACAUUUAUAAUAACUUUAUUUUUUUAUAACAAACUUGCAACAGUAACUUGAAACCAGUUUUUGAUACAAAUAUAUAGCUUGCUACAUUUCUGAGUCAAUGUUUCAUCUCAGAGUCAACAUUUUAAGGUUGAACAUUAAAGGGUCAUGCAAAAUAAUAUAGAAACAGCAGUGCAAUUUAUCCAUUAACUUACCAGAAAUAUAUUGUUUCAUUCUAUUUUUAUGAUAAAAUAUAACAACUUGUGUACAGUAUAUCAAAAUAAGCAGUUCAUAUAUUUAAUUAAAUUUUAAUUUUUUUUUUAAUUUAAAGUUUUUAAGCUCCUUAUAUUAUACAGAAGCAGCAAUUAUCCUAUAUGUGUGGUCUCACCAUGAAAUGAGACGCAUCAUUGGUGAAAUCAUAUUGAGAUAUUCACCAAAACAGGCCAAAGUCAAAGUAAUUUUGAUUUUAAUGUUUUUGAAUAACUUGAUACUUAUAUUUUAUGAUUGUAUACUUUGUAAGUGAAUUUUCUUGCCAAAACAGUGUUCUCUGCACAUAUUCUGUAAUUCUAGUCAUAUUAUUUGUACAGGUUAGUUUAUCUUUGAGGCGGAUUUCCUCAAAAUGUGGCUCUUAUACACCUAAAUUUAAAUGCUCACAUCUCUGGAUUUACUUAUAGUAGGGAAGCCAUUCAAAGACCAAAUGAAAACUGAUGAUGUGAUCUACCCAAAUAUAAACUUUUUUUUUGAAUUUCUAACCAUGAGACUCAUUUUGUAAUCACACCAGUAAUAUCUACAGUGGAAUCUGCUUCUUUUGGAUGCCCCCUAUUAAGGGAGACAUUUUCAAAUGUAAAACAAGGAAAAAUAUACUGUAUACACUACACCAACACUUGAAAUGUUAGCUUAGUAUUUUAUAUAUUUAUUUAAAAAGCAUUAUAUUAAAUUUAGCUAAAAAAAUAUAAUUUUUUUUUGGUCAAAAUAUAUAUGUUUUGUGGUAUAGGCCUACAUCGUUUUGUUAGAGCAAUUUUAAUAGCUUUCAAAACAAUACCAAAAGUAUUUUGUGACAUACUAGCUUCAAUACCAUUUCGGUAUAAAAACGGCAAAAUUAGCCAUUUCGACAUUCUACAUAUAAUACUCCAAAAUAAAAAAAUGCAUGUCUGAAAUUUUUAUAGGUGUUUCAUUGUGUUUGUGGUCAGUAAUUCAAGAAGAUACCAGACGAAAAAGGUUGAUAGCUUAGUGUUUUUAUUUAUAAAAUGUGUACUAAUAAAUAUGUUUUUAGCUAUUUUUUUUUGUAAUAGAGCAGUAUUUAUCCCAUGGUGUUAUUUACAUUUUGUCAUUUAUAAGAACUCAGUUUCAGACAGAACCUUAAAGAUAUACAGUUAUAUUGCAAAAACAAUACACCACCACGGUCUGUAUGUUGACGGAUAUUAUGAAAUACAUAUAAAAAAAGACAUACCGAUAGGUCUAAUUAAAUAAAACGGGUGUUAUGAAUACACAGGGUGUAAUAUGCCAUGAAUUAUUUAAAUAAACAUAUUAAUUUUGUCUUUUGAAUUAGGCCUCCAAGUGAAUAUGUUAGU